Molecule: ribosomal RNA, 450 nt
Filed under: uncultured bacterium
Lineage: Bacteria
Description: partial 16S ribosomal RNA
Rfam family: Bacterial small subunit ribosomal RNA
Source: RNAcentral
GUGGGGAAUAUUGGACAAUGGGCGCAAGCCUGAUCCAGCAAUGCCGCGUGCAGGAAGAAGGCCUUCGGGUUGUAAACUGCUUUUGUACGGAACGAAACGGCUCUGGUUAAUACCCGGGGCUAAUGACGGUACCGUAAGAAUAAGCACCGGCUAACUACGUGCCAGCAGCCGCGGUAAUACGUAGGGUGCAAGCGUUAAUCGGAAUUACUGGGCGUAAAGCGUGCGCAGGCGGUUUUGUAAGACAGGCGUGAAAUCCCCGGGCUCAACCUGGGAACUGCGCUUGUGACUGCACGGCUAGAGUAUGGCAGAGGGGGGUGGAAUUCCACGUGUAGCAGUGAAAUGCGUAGAGAUGUGGAGGAACACCGAUGGCGAAGGCAGCCCCCUGGGCCAAUACUGACGCUCAUGCACGAAAGCGUGGGGAGCAAACAGGAUUAGAAACCCUAGUAGUCC